UAUACCCUACGGGACGCAGCAGUGAGGAAUAUUGGUCAAUGGGCGCGAGCCUGAACCAGCCACGUCGCGUGAGGGAGGACGGCCCUACGGGUUGUAAACCUCUUUUGCCGGGGAGCAACGGGCGUCACGUGUGGCGCCACUGAGAGUACCCGGAGAAAAAGCAUCGGCUAACUCCGUGCCAGCAGCCGCGGUAAUACGGAGGAUGCGAGCGUUAUCCGGAUUUACUGGGUGUAAAGGGAGCGCAGGCGGCGCGUUAAGCCUG
This 262-nucleotide ribosomal RNA is filed under the name uncultured bacterium. RNAcentral describes it as "partial 16S ribosomal RNA". It matches the Rfam family "Bacterial small subunit ribosomal RNA", at positions 333 to 591 of the family's 1533-position model. The record is from RNAcentral.